AAAUAAGAAACAAAAAAUUGUAUUUAGUUUCGACCUAAAAUUUUGGUGGAUACACCCUUAUUUU
This 64-nucleotide transfer RNA is filed under the name Staphylinidae sp. BMNH 1274640. RNAcentral describes it as "tRNA-Arg". Lineage: Eukaryota; Metazoa; Arthropoda; Insecta; Coleoptera; Staphylinidae. The record is from RNAcentral.